GACGAACGCUGGCGGCGUGCCUAAUACAUGCAAGUAGAACGCUGAAGAGAGGAGCUUGCUCUUCUUGGAUGAGUUGCGAACGGGUGAGUAACGCGUAGGUAACCUGCCUUUUAGCGGGGGAUAACUAUUGGAAACGAUAGCUAAUACCGCAUAACAAUGGAUGACACAUGUCAUUUAUUUGAAAGGGGCAAUUGCUCCACUACAAGAUGGACCUGCGUUGUAUUAGCUAGUAGGUGAGGGAAUGGCUCACCUAGGCGACGAUACAUAGCCGACCUGAGAGGGGGGUCGGCCAAACUGGGACUGAGACACCGCCCAGGAUCCUAAGGGAGGCAGGCGUAGGGAAUCUUUGGCAAUGGGGGGAACGCUGACCGGGCAACGGCGCGGGAGUGAAGGAGGGUUUCGGAUCGUAAAGCUCUGUUGUAAGUGAAGAACGGGUGGGAGAGUUGACAGUUCACACUGUGACGGUAGCUUACCAGAAAGGGACGGCUAACUACGUG
This 497-nucleotide ribosomal RNA is filed under the name uncultured bacterium. RNAcentral describes it as "partial 16S ribosomal RNA". It matches the Rfam family "Bacterial small subunit ribosomal RNA", at positions 28 to 507 of the family's 1533-position model. The record is from RNAcentral.